UAUGGUAAAAAGGUGAAAACCUUUUUUACCCCCAAAACUCUGUGCAAUGGAGCACACGGCUUGUGCAUCGAAGCCCGCGGCAAAAAGCGAUAUGUAAUGAGAUUCGUUAGCCUCGCGAUUCAUCAAAUUGGUGAACACAUACUGGACCUCUUCGGAGGUACUUGCGUUAGAGUGCUAGUUUUAUAUCAAUUGAUCCUGGUAAAAGGUGUUUGAAUCGUUAGGUUCUUACGCCCUAGCCGGUGUAGCCGGAUUCUCUUUGAGAAACCGGAUUGUUCCUGAAUCUGAUGAUUUAGUUGUUUGUUCUCUGCUCUACCUCCUCAAUUGCGAGGCUUCGGGUACGGCGUGAAAGCUCAUAACUAGAUUGUUAACCUCAGGUCAAUCAUUUUUCAUAUAACUGGCCUCUAAUGUGAGAGGGUACCCCCUGGAUUUAAGCAUAU
This 437-nucleotide unclassified non-coding RNA is filed under the name Naegleria sp. RNG167. RNAcentral describes it as "partial contains ITS1, 5.8S rRNA, ITS2, and 28S rRNA". The stretch from base 36 to 177 matches the Rfam family "5.8S ribosomal RNA". The record is from RNAcentral. Lineage: Eukaryota; Heterolobosea; Eutetramitea; Acrasida; Naegleriidae.